Molecule: ribosomal RNA, 497 nt
Filed under: uncultured bacterium
Lineage: Bacteria
Description: partial 16S ribosomal RNA
Rfam family: Bacterial small subunit ribosomal RNA
Source: RNAcentral
GAUGAACGCUGGCGGCGUGCCUAAUACAUGCAAGUCGAGCGAACAGACGAGGAGCUUGCUCCUCUGACGUUAGCGGCGGACGGGUGAGUAACACGUGGAUAACCUACCUAUAAGACUGGGAUAACUUCGGGAAACCGGAGCUAAUACCGGAUAAUAUAUUGAACCGCAUGGUUCAAUAGUGAAAGACGGUUUUGCUGACACUUAUAGAUGGAUCCGCGCCGCAUUAGCUAGUUGGUAAGGUAACGGCUUACCAAGGCGACGAUGCGCAGCCGACCUGAGAGGGUGAUCGGCCACACUGGAACUGAGACACGGUCCAGACUCCUACGGGAGGCAGCAGUAGGGAAUCUUCCGCAAUGGGCGAAAGCCUGACGGAGCAACGCCGCGUGAGUGAUGAAGGUCUUCGGAUCGUAAAACUCUGUUAUUAGGGAAGAACAAAUGUGUAAGUAACUAUGCACGUCUUGACGGUACCUAAUCAGAAAGCCACGGCUAACUACGUG